CCUACGGGUGGCAGCAGUGAGGAAUAUUGGUCAAUGGGCGGAAGCCUGAACCAGCCAAGUCGCGUGAGGGAUUAAGGCCCUGCGGGUCGUAAACCUCUUUUGCCGGGGAGCAGAGGUCCGGACGUGUCCGGGCCGGGAGAGUAACCGGAGAAAAAGCAUCGGCUAACCCCGUGCCAGCAGCCGCGGUAAUAGGGGGGAUGCGAGCGUUAUCCGGAGUUAUGGGGUUUAAAGGGUGCGUAGGCGGGCAUUUAGGCCGGCGGUCAAAUGUCGGGGCUCAACCCCGGCCUGCCGUCGGAACUGGGUGCCUUGAGUGGACGAGAAGUAGGCGGAAUGCGUGGUGUAGCGGUGAAAUGCAUAGAUAUCACGCAGAACCCCGAUUGCGAAGGCAGCAUACCGGCGCCCUACUGACGCUGAGGCACGAAGGUGCGGGUAUCGAACAGGAUUAGAUACCCUAGUAGUC
This 460-nucleotide ribosomal RNA is filed under the name uncultured bacterium. Its description in RNAcentral is "partial 16S ribosomal RNA". It matches the Rfam family "Bacterial small subunit ribosomal RNA", at positions 338 to 795 of the family's 1533-position model. The record is from RNAcentral.